AAAAGUUUACUCAACCUGUCUUCUGUUGAACUGUUCCAAGUCGCCAAAAGCAUCGGUCCAAUACCAGGGAAGGACUUCUCAGAACUUGACGUUGAGGAUCAAGAGGGCUGUCUUGAAUACAUAAAUGCCUUCAUGUACAGCACUCACCUGUUAGAAUCAGAGGACAGAGACCAUCUGAAUACAGGUGGUGAAAGACGAAUGGAGGAUAUAAAUCUGCAUAGGGAAGUCACUCGCAGAUAAAGAGACCAGACUACAGAUUACUGAGCUGCGUCUCUAUGAAGAGUGAGUCAUCUAUGGAUCCUCCUUUUAUAUACACAGAUGAAGAGUCCUCAACUGGACCCAGUGUAACGCAGAAAAAAAGGCCAGACUCACCAUCACCCAGCCGUUCUUCAAUGAUGAGUGAUUCAUCUAUGGAUUUUCCUGUUUAUUUUAAAGCUGGAGAGUCUUCAUCUGGACACAGGUAUUUUAUCUUUACAUUGCUCAAAGUUUCUAGAUUUUUCAGUCCAGAACAUUUGCAAAAUUCUUGUAGAAAACGUGUAAGAAUUAAACAUCACUGCAUCAGGAGCUAUAACAACCAGUUAAAUAGUCAUAUGUGUGCAUGCAAGUAUAUUUCACCAUUCAUCAUUUAUUUACAAAAAGUCUUCAUUUUAGCAAAAUUACUGCAUCCAGCUACAAAAUCAAGUUAUUGGAAACAAGAAUUAGGCAUUGAAAAAAGGAAAAACAUAUGACUUCUCUAAACUUUUACAAAAUUAAUUUUUUUUGUACUUUUUCACCUGCAGGGAGAAAAAAAUAAUUUAACAAUUCCUUAAAAAACAAAACAAAAAAACAAAGAAUGUAAAAACAAAAACUUACAUGUUGGGUCUUAAAUGCAAAAUUCACAGAGAAAUGAAACACAGGUGGCGAUGAUUCGCUUUAAAAAGUACAGUGGAAAAAAGUAGGGAAUGGAGACAUCUGGUGGACAAAGUGUGGCAUAAUCUUAAAAAUUCUGCGAGCACUUGGAAGUGCAUAUCAAUGGAACAACUUUAAAAACAAUAUACUGAGUGGUAAAUGGGCAAAAACUUAAGUGGCUAACAUUCUGACUUUAAAAAGACUAAUUUAAUCAAUUACAAUAUUUAGAAAGAAAAUAAGUUUAUUGAAAUUAAACUU
Silurus meridionalis is the source of this 1146-nucleotide long non-coding RNA. RefSeq lists it as uncharacterized. The transcript is spliced from 4 exons. The record is from RefSeq and is a predicted model, not a curated record. NCBI's taxonomy places the organism in Eukaryota, Metazoa, Chordata, Actinopteri, Siluriformes, Siluridae.